Molecule: ribosomal RNA, 433 nt
Filed under: uncultured bacterium
Lineage: Bacteria
Description: partial 16S ribosomal RNA
Rfam family: Bacterial small subunit ribosomal RNA
Source: RNAcentral
AACGAACGCUGGCGGCAUGCCUAACACAUGCAAGUCGAACGAGCCCUUCGGGUCUAGUGUCGCACGGGUGCUUACCGCGUGGGAACCUGCCCUUAGGUUCGGAAUAACUCACAGAAAGGGGUGCUAUUACCGGAACAUCUCUUCGGACCAAAGCUUUACGGCCUUUGGAUGGGCCCGCGUUGGAUUAGCUAGUUGGUAGGGUAAAGGCCUACCAAGGCGACGAUCCAUAGCUGGUCUGAGAGGAUGAACAGCCACACUGGGACUGAGACACGGCCCAGACUCCUACGGGAGGCAGCAGUGGGGAAUAUUGCACAAUGGGCGAAAGCCUGAUGCAGCAAUGCCGCGUGGGUGAUGAAGGUCUUAGGGUUGUAAAGCUCUGUUGUCGGGGAAGAUAAUGACAGUACCGAAAGAGUAAGCGACGGCUAACUCCGUG